ACGAACGCUGGCGGCGUGCCUAAAACAUGCAAGUCGAACGGAGGUAGCAAUACCUCAGUGGCGAACGGCGGAGUAAUACAUAAGCAACGUGCCCGAAAGACUGGGAUAGUCAGGGGAAACCCUGGGUAAUACUGGAUGUGGCGAGCUCUUGGCAUCUUGAGUUCACUAAAUGGUCUUUCGCUUUCGGAGCGGCUUAUGGCCUAUCAGGUAGUUGGUGAGGUAAUGGCUCACCAAGCCGACGACGGGUAGCGGGUCUGAGAGGAUGAUCCGCUCGAGUGGGACUGAGACACGGCCCACACACCUACGGGUGGCAGCAGUUGGGAAUCUUGCACAAUGGGGGAAACCCCUGAUGCAGCGACGCCGCGUGGAGGAUGACGGGUCUA
RNAcentral lists this ribosomal RNA (383 nucleotides) under uncultured bacterium. RNAcentral's name for it is "bacterial SSU rRNA". It matches the Rfam family "Bacterial small subunit ribosomal RNA", at positions 29 to 419 of the family's 1533-position model. The record is from RNAcentral.